Molecule: non-coding RNA, 192 nt
Filed under: Halomonas sp. A3H3
Lineage: Bacteria; Pseudomonadati; Pseudomonadota; Gammaproteobacteria; Oceanospirillales; Halomonadaceae
Source: RNAcentral
CCUAGAAUGGCCAGUGUCGGUGUUCCCACGGAACUUAAUAGAGAAUCCGCCGCGGCUUGCCGCGAACCGGAACUGCCCCCGCAACUGUAGGCGGCGAGCGAUGCUCUUUGAUGCCACUGGACACAGAGUCUGGGAAGGCGAGCUAGCCAUGACCCGUCAGUCAGGAGAACUGCCGAUAUAUUACUUACAUCG